RNAcentral lists this ribosomal RNA (397 nucleotides) under uncultured bacterium. RNAcentral's name for it is "partial 16S ribosomal RNA". It matches the Rfam family "Bacterial small subunit ribosomal RNA", at positions 523 to 918 of the family's 1533-position model. The record is from RNAcentral.
AUACGUAGGGGGCGAGCGUUGUCCGGAAUGAUUGGGCGUAAAGGGCGCGUAGGCGGCCUGGUAAGUCUGAAGUGAAAGUCCCGCUUUCAAGGUGGGAAUUGCUUUGGAUACUGCUGGGCUUGAGUGCAGGAGAGGAAAGCGGAAUUCCCGGUGUAGCGGUGAAAUGCGUAGAGAUCGGGAGGAACACCAGUGGCGAAGGCGGCUUUCUGGACUGUAACUGACGCUGAGGCGCGAAAGCGUGGGGAGCAAACAGGAUUAGAUACCCUGGUAGUCCACGCUGUAAACGAUGAAUGCUAGGUGUAGGAGGUAUCGACCCCUUCUGUGCCGGAGUAAACACAAUAAGCAUUCCGCCUGGGGAGUACGGCCGCAAGGUUGAAACUCAAAUGAAUUGGCGGGG